UGCAAGUCAGGCAUUGUUGUGGUUUAUUUC
Molecule: non-coding RNA, 30 nt
Filed under: Rattus norvegicus (Norway rat)
Lineage: Eukaryota; Metazoa; Chordata; Mammalia; Rodentia; Muridae
Source: RNAcentral